CCCUUAGAUGUUCUGGGCUGCACGCGCGCUACACUGAUGCGUUCAACGAGUUUAUAACCUUGCUAGAGAUAGUUGGGUAAUCUUUUUAAAUCGCAUCGUGAUGGGGAUAGAUUAUUGCAAUUAUUGAUCUUCAACGAGGAAUUCCUAGUAAGCGCGAGUCAUCAGCUCGUGCUGAUUACGUCCCUGCCCUUUGUACACACCGCCCGUCGCUCCUACCGAUUGGGUAUCCCGGUGAAUAAUCCGGACCCUGCAUUUUUCAGUUCGCUGGGAUUUGCGGGGGAAGUUUAGUGAACCUUGAUACCUAGAGGAAGGAGAANUCGUANCA
Molecule: ribosomal RNA, 325 nt
Filed under: uncultured eukaryote
Lineage: Eukaryota
Description: partial 18S ribosomal RNA
Rfam family: Eukaryotic small subunit ribosomal RNA
Source: RNAcentral